UAUAUUAAGUAUUAAGGUCAGUAGGUGUACUUUACUGGUUUGCAAUAUUAUCCGAAAUCGGUUAAGCACCUACUGACCGUGGUGCUUACGCUAUUUUUUGCACGAUCAAUUUAUAAUUGAUAUAAACUAAAUUCGAAUGUAUCAAUGUGGUAGCAUCACAAUGGGUUCAGUAAUUUUUUGUGGGUUGCUACAGUUACGUUUCUGUUUUUGAAAACAAAACAACACGUGCGCGAAACGUGGUUUGGUUGAGACUAAGUGAACAUACCUAAAUGAUUCAGAAGAUUUCGAAAUAGAAGAUGCAUGGAGUAUUGGCUGCGCAUCGAUCAUUCCCGAAAAAUUUAAAAGUAGAUAUGAAGCCGCAUAUGAUUCUUUCCUUAAAUGGUGUGAAAGUAAAUGUCAAACUGACAUAAGUGAAAAAAUUGUGUUAGCAUAUUUUGUUCAACGUAGUGAAGGAUUGAAAUGGCUUAUGGUGUGAUUAUUCCAUGUUGAAAAUAUGAUUAUUCUAAGAAGGUGUGUUGAUAUUUCUAAAUACAGUACGCUGAUAGCAUUUUUGAAAAGAAAGAACGUUGGGUAUCAGCCAAAAAAAUCUAGCGUUUUUUCUAAAGCAGAUUUCCAUAAAUUUCUUACGGAAGCACCCGAUGACACGUACUUGGUGAGUCAUUAACUAACAAGAUUGAAACCGCUCAGAAGAUUUUAUGUGGAACUCCAGGGAACCCUUCAUCAUCUUCGUUGCCAUCAACAGAACCUGCUAUUUCAUACCGUACUAAUUCAAAUCCUCUAUCGACUGCUGAGUGUGAAGAAUCUGUAAACACCGUGUUUUCCAAUUGCCUGUCUAAUUCCCGAACUAAUUUUUGUAACUUGCAAAUUGUACAUUUAACUUCCACAUUAAUAAACAAUAAUUUGAUUUUUGACACA
Molecule: long non-coding RNA, 915 nt
Organism: Photinus pyralis (common eastern firefly)
Lineage: Eukaryota; Metazoa; Arthropoda; Insecta; Coleoptera; Lampyridae
Exons: 2
Source: RefSeq, a predicted model, not a curated record